UUGAACGCUGGCGGCAUGCUUUACACAUGCAAGUCGAACGGCAGCGGGGGCUUCGGCCCGCCGGCGAGUGGCGAACGGGUGAGUAAUGCAUCGGAACGUACCCAGUCGUGGGGGAUAACUACGCGAAAGCGUGGCUAAUACCGCAUACGCCCUGAGGGGGAAAGCGGGGGACCUUCGGGCCUCGCGCGAUUGGAGCGGCUGAUGUCGGAUUAGCUAGUUGGUGGGGUAAAGGCCUACCAAGGCGACGAUCCGUAGCUGGUCUGAGAGGAUGAUCAGCCACACUGGGACUGAGACACGGCCCAGACUCCUACGGGAGGCAGCAGUGGGGAAUUUUGGACAAUGGGGGCAACCCUGAUCCAGCCAUGCCGCGUGAGUGAAGAAGGCCUUCGGGUUGUAAAGCUCUUUUGUCCGGGAGCAAACCUUCGUGGUUAAUACCUACGGAGCUGAGAGUACCGGAAGAAUAAGCACCGGCUAACUACGU
RNAcentral lists this ribosomal RNA (481 nucleotides) under uncultured bacterium. RNAcentral's name for it is "bacterial SSU rRNA". It matches the Rfam family "Bacterial small subunit ribosomal RNA", at positions 29 to 506 of the family's 1533-position model. The record is from RNAcentral.